AACAAGCUUGGUCUGUUG
Molecule: unclassified non-coding RNA, 18 nt
Filed under: Mus musculus (house mouse)
Lineage: Eukaryota; Metazoa; Chordata; Mammalia; Rodentia; Muridae
Description: oocyte_clustered_small_RNA7334
Source: RNAcentral